CAGUGGGGUGAUCUCGGCUCACUGCAGCCUCCACCUCCCAGGUUCAAGCGAUUCUCGUGCCUCUGCGUCCUGAAUAGCUGGGAUUACAGGUGUGCACCACCACAUCCUGCUGAUUUUUGUAUUUUUAGAGAUGGGGUUUUGGCACGUUGGCCAAGCUGGUCUCGAACUCCUGGCCUCAAGCAAUCCACCCACCUUGGCCUCCCAAAGUGCUGGAAUUACAGACGUGCACCUCCACGCCCAGCCAGAUCUUCAUAUAUCUAAGAUCCUGUCAAGAAGUCAUGGUAAACCCCAUCAUGAUCAAGAAUGAGACUUUGCUUGCAUCUAGGCUUCCCAAAAGUUGUUUGAUAGUAUACAGGCAUGAGAUGGUGUGACUCUAACUCAUUAGAUGCCUUCGUCUUUUCAGUCAUGUUCCAGCCAAAAGAUCAUGUUGAACUUCAUAAUGACCAUUAAUGGGGGCUUUGCUUGUAGACAAGCGAUUAUGUGGGCCUUAAGCAUCCUACAGAUCAUGUGAUCUUCAGAUAUCUUGGUAAGUAUACAUGGUGCCCC
Molecule: long non-coding RNA, 546 nt
Organism: Symphalangus syndactylus (siamang)
Lineage: Eukaryota; Metazoa; Chordata; Mammalia; Primates; Hylobatidae
Source: RefSeq, a predicted model, not a curated record